CUGUGCUAGGGAUAACUGUCUUUAGCAUCCUCAGAGAUGGAAUGAAUACAUGUGUGUCAGAAAGAUCAAACUAACCCUACUAAAUCAUGAAGAAUAAAUACGAGAGGAAAAGUACAUUGUGAGUUCGAGCAAUUUAUGGCAUGAGGCUAAGGAUUUUGCCUUUUUGUCUCUAAAGGUAAAACAUAUGUAUUGCUUUAAAAAUAACAGUUAAAAAGAAACAGAGUAAGCAUAGUUCUUUAGCAUGAAGUUCUCAGAAAAUAAAGUACCAGGCAGGCAUUUGAUUGAACUCCAGAAUGAAUGAAGACUUGCUUCUUGAUUUAUCUUGUGAUCGCUUAGUUUCUCAACUAAGUGUCAACUUGUGUUUUGUUACAUAUCACAGAAUGUAAAAAAGCUGUGUACCACCAGUGACCCAUGAUGAAGGCAAGUUUCUCUUGAAAUUUACACCUCACUGCUUGGGUGAGAAGAUGACACGAGAGAGAUGCUGGUACAAAGCUGCUGAAAGCAAAGCAAAGGGCCACUUGGGAGUUGCUUUCAUGGGGCACAAAGGUUAUCACAUUUGAUCCAUACAUCAUGUGGAGUUUAAAUAAGGAUUGCUUGAGUGAUGCACUUCACCUUCCUCAAACGAUGGGGGACGGAGUGGAAAUCAGAAGAUUUUGGCAUUCACCAUUUUACUCCACCGUGUAAAGCCUGUAUGUCACAGUUACCUCUGCUUCUCAUCCUGCUCAAAAAGCUCUGUGAACCUAAAGCAUCAGGAAGGGGAAGGAGCUGAUGGAAUUGCUGUCAGAAUCCUGGAAGAGGACAGGCAAGCAGCUGGAAUGGAACGACAGUGGCAUCAAAGGUGAGCAAAACAACACUGAACGUUUAUACUUUUGACCUUGUAUACUCAGGAUGGGGUUGGUGACUGCUUCCCAUUCUCGGGUGACAAUAUCAGCUGCAGUGCCUCUGCUAGGAAGUAACUUGUAUGAUUGAUUGAGGUGGUAAGA
RNAcentral lists this long non-coding RNA (983 nucleotides) under Meleagris gallopavo (turkey). RNAcentral's name for it is "lncRNA (ENSMGAG00000021527.1)". The record is from RNAcentral. Lineage: Eukaryota; Metazoa; Chordata; Aves; Galliformes; Phasianidae.